RNAcentral lists this unclassified non-coding RNA (330 nucleotides) under uncultured fungus. RNAcentral describes it as "partial contains small subunit ribosomal RNA, internal transcribed spacer 1, and 5.8S ribosomal RNA". The stretch from base 1 to 73 matches the Rfam family "Eukaryotic small subunit ribosomal RNA", at positions 1759 to 1831 of the family's 1831-position model. The record is from RNAcentral. Lineage: Eukaryota; Fungi.
GCAAACUUGGUCAUUUAGAGGAAGUAAAAGUCGUAACAAGGUUUCCGUAGGUGAACCUUCGGAAGGAUCAUUACUGAGUUUUGGAAGCUGGGGGUCCGCCCCUGGCUGCCCGCUCUCUCAUGUCCAAUGUUUAUGGCACUCUUGGUAUGCUUCGGUGUGACCAGACGUCCUGUCGGCAGGGCCCCACCGGUCUUGCUCGUGUCUGCCGAUGGCCUAUUUAACCUCAAAUCUUCUGGAUCAACGUCUGAAAUAUGAUUGUGUAAAUACAAAUUAAAAAGCAAAACUUUCAACAACGGAUCUCUUGGUUCUGGCAUCGAUGAAGAACGCAGC